GAUGAACGCUGGCGGCGUGCUUAACACAUGCAAGUCGAACGGAAAGGCCCGGCUUUUGUGGGUUGCUCGAGUGGCGAACGGGGGAGAAACACGCGAGUAACCUCCCCUUGACUUUGGGAUAACACCAGGAAACAGGGGCUAUUACAGGAUAGAAGCUCUUGAUCCAUGUUGGGGGUUGGAAAGUUUCGGUCGUUGGGGAUGGAUUGGCGGGUUAUCAGCUUGUUGGUGAGGUAGUGGCUUACCAAGGUUUUGACGGGUAGGCGGCAUGAGAGGGGGACCAGCGACCAGGGGACUGAGGGAGGGCCCAGUCGCGUACGGGAGGCAGCGGGGGGGAAUAUUGCGGAAUGGGCGGAAGUCUGAGACAGCAGCGCCGCGUGCGGGAUGCCGGCCUUCGGGUGAAAAACCGCUGUCUCCGGUGAUGUGGCGGGAGUGACGGUAACGGGUCAGGAAGCACCGGCUAACUACGUG
This 468-nucleotide ribosomal RNA is filed under the name uncultured bacterium. Its description in RNAcentral is "partial 16S ribosomal RNA". It matches the Rfam family "Bacterial small subunit ribosomal RNA", at positions 28 to 507 of the family's 1533-position model. The record is from RNAcentral.